This 1211-nucleotide ribosomal RNA is filed under the name uncultured bacterium. Its description in RNAcentral is "bacterial SSU rRNA". It matches the Rfam family "Bacterial small subunit ribosomal RNA", at positions 148 to 1355 of the family's 1533-position model. The record is from RNAcentral.
UACUGGAAACGGUAGCUAAUACCGCAUAACGUCGCAAGACCAAAGUGGGGGACCUUCGGGCCUCACACCAUCGGAUGAACCCAGAUGGGAUUAGCUAGUAGGUGGGGUAAUGGCUCACCUAGGCGACGAUCCCUAGCUGGUCUGAGAGGAUGACCAGCCACACUGGAACUGAGACACGGUCCAGACUCCUACGGGAGGCAGCAGUGGGGAAUAUUGCACAAUGGGGGAAACCCUGAUGCAGCCAUGUCGCGUGUGUGAAGAAGGCCUUCGGGUUGUAAAGCACUUUCAGCGGGGAGGAAGGCGGUGGCGUUAAUAGCGCUAUCGAUUGACGUUACCCGCAGAAGAAGCACCGGCUAACUCCGUGCCAGCAGCCGCGGUAAUACGGAGGGUGCGAGCGUUAAUCGGAAUUACUGGGCGUAAAGCGUACGCAGGCGGUCUGUUAAGUCAGAUGUGAAAUCCCCGGGCUUAACCUGGGAACUGCAUUUGAAACUGGCAGGCUAGAGUCUCGUGGAGGGGGGUAGAAUUCCAGGUGUAGCGGUGAAAUGCGUAGAGAUCUGGAGGAAUACCGGUGGCGAAGGCGGCCCCCUGGACGAAGACUGACGCUCAGGUACGAAAGCGUGGGGAGCAAACAGGAUUAGAUACCCUGGUAGUCCACGCUGUAAACGAUGUCGAUUUGAAGGUUGUGGCCUUGAGCCGUGGCUUUCGGAGCUAACGCGUUAAAUCGACCGCCUGGGGAGUACGGCCGCAAGGUUAAAACUCAAAUGAAUUGACGGGGGCCCGCACAAGCGGUGGAGCAUGUGGUUUAAUUCGAUGCAACGCGAAGAACCUUACCUACUCUUGACAUCCAGAGAACAUGGCAGAGAUGCCCUGGUGCCUUCGGGAACUCUGAGACAGGUGCUGCAUGGCUGUCGUCAGCUCGUGUUGUGAAAUGUUGGGUUAAGUCCCGCAACGAGCGCAACCCUUAUCCUUUGUUGCCAGCGAUUCGGUCGGGAACUCAAAGGAGACUGCCGGUGAUAAACCGGAGGAAGGUGGGGAUGACGUCAAGUCAUCAUGGCCCUUACGAGUAGGGCUACACACGUGCUACAAUGGCGCAUACAAAGAGAAGCGAUCUCGCGAGAGUCAGCGGACCUCAUAAAGUGCGUCGUAGUCCGGAUUGGAGUCUGCAACUCGACUCCAUGAAGUCGGAAUCGCUAGUAAUCGUGGAUCAGAAU